This 484-nucleotide ribosomal RNA is filed under the name uncultured Corynebacterium sp. RNAcentral describes it as "bacterial SSU rRNA". It matches the Rfam family "Bacterial small subunit ribosomal RNA", at positions 1 to 507 of the family's 1533-position model. Lineage: Bacteria; Bacillati; Actinomycetota; Actinomycetes; Mycobacteriales; Corynebacteriaceae. The record is from RNAcentral.
UAGACGUUUGACGUCCUCGGACGUCAGGACGAACGCUGGCGGCGUGCUACACAUGCAAGUCGACGGAAGGCCCUGCUUGUCAGGUGCUCGAGUGGCGAACGGGUGAGUAACACGUGGGUGAUCUGCCUGCACUUCGGGAUAGCCUGGGAAACUGGUCUAAUACCGGAUGGAGCCAUUUUUAGUGUGAUGGUUGGAAAGUUUUUUCGGUGUAGGAUGAGCUCGCGGCCUAUCAGCUUGUUGGUGGGGUAAUGGCCUACCAAGGCGGCGACGGGUAGCCGGCCUGAAAGGGUGGACGGCCACAUUGGGACUGAGAUACGGCCCAGACUCCUACGGGAGGCAGCAGUGGGGAAUAUUGCACAAUGGGCGCAAGCCUGAUGCAGCGACGCCGCGUGGGGGAUGACGGCCUUCGGGUUGUAAACUCCUUUCGCUAGGGACGAAGCUUUUUGUGACGGUACCUAGAUAAGAAGCACCGGCUAACUACGUG